Molecule: RNA transcript, 3338 nt
Organism: Prunus avium (sweet cherry)
Lineage: Eukaryota; Viridiplantae; Streptophyta; Magnoliopsida; Rosales; Rosaceae
Gene name: Galactose oxidase/kelch repeat superfamily protein
Source: RefSeq, a predicted model, not a curated record
ACGCAUUAUUUAAUACAUUACUCUCUCCACACAGCGAAUAUAACCAGAAGCAAAAGAGAGAGAGAGAGAGAAUCUAGAGCAAGAGAGAGAAGGAGAGGAAGAGGAAGAGGAGCUGGGGUCAUACUCACCGUCUUCUUCUUAUCAAAUUCAUACCUAGCUCAUAAUUGCUUUUGCAUAUGGAGUAAUUAAGGCGUAGAAUUUCGUUUUGUUUACUCAUUGAUUUUGUUUUCAUGGGUAACAAAGGAAGGGUUUCUUUCCAGCUGGUCAAAUUGGAGAAUUCCAACAACAUGUUGGAGGGUCCUUCCUAUCUUGUGUCUAGGGAGUUGCCGAGCUCAUGCGAGCAGGAGAGCAAAUGGAUUUACAAUACUCACCGUGUUAUGGAGCUCUCAAACAAUAAGCGCCCCCUUGCAGACGGGGAAGAACUCACAUUGAGGAAGGCAUGCAAGCUAUCAGAUGCCGUUCUAGGAGGUGAAGCAGUUAUGGAUCUUAAUGGCCUUUCUCUCUCCCCUGCCAAGGACCAGUCAAAUGACCAGCAUCAUGAAGGUGGAAAUUCUGAUUCAAGUUCACUAAUCAGCCAACUUGGUCGGGAUAACUCAAUAAGCUGUCUCCUUCGCUGCUCGAGGUCUGAUUAUGGCUCAAUUGCCUCAUUGAAUAAAAACUUCCGCUCUCUAAUUCGGGGUGGGGAGCUGUACACACUGAGGCGGAAAAUGGAUAUUGUAGAACAUUGGGUUUACUUCUCUUGCAACCUCCUUGAAUGGGAGGCAUUUGAUCCCGAUCGCAGACGUUGGAUGCAUUUGCCUAGAAUGACGUCAAAUGAUUGUUUCAUGUGUUCUGACAAGGAGUCGUUGGCCGUUGGUACUGAACUUCUUGUUUUUGGAAAGGAAAUAACGUCCCAUGUUAUUUAUAGAUACAGCAUUUUGACCAACACGUGGUCAUCCGGCACUGAGAUGAAUACACCUAGAUGCUUGUUCGGUUCUGCUAGCCGUGGGGAAAUUGCAAUUCUAGCUGGUGGUUGCGAUCCACGUGGCAAUAUCUUGAACUCUGCUGAGCUGUAUAAUUCAGAAAGAGGAACUUGGCUGACUCUUCCAAGCAUGAAUAAACCUAGAAAAAUGUGUUCUGGGGUAUUUAUGGAUGGGAAGUUUUAUGUCAUUGGUGGGAUAGGAGUGGGCGAUCCAAAGCAACUAACAGGCGGAGAGGUGUACGAUUUGGAGAAGAGGACCUGGACUGAGAUACCAAACAUGUUCCCUGGACGAAAUGGAGGAGCUGGGGCAGCUGAGGCUCCUGCUGCAGCUGAGGCACCUCCUCUGCUUGCAGUUGUAAAUAACAUAUUGUAUGCUGCAGAUUAUGCAGAAAAGGAGGUGAGGAGAUACGAUAAGGAGAAGAACGUGUGGGUGGCUGUUGGGAGAUUACCUGAGCGGGCUGUCUCGAUGAAUGGUUGGGGAUUAGCAUUUAGGGCAUGUGGAGAUCGGUUAAUUGUGAUUGGUGGACCUAGGGCAUUAGGAGGAGGGACAAUUGAACUUAAUUCUUGGGUCCCUGAUGGAAGCUCACCACAAUGGGACUUACUUGCCAGAAAACCGUCUGGCAGCUUUGUGUAUAAUUGUGCGGUGAUGGGAUGCUAAGAUGUCCAGUUUCAGUGACACCAUGUGUGCUGUGUGGAAUCCUGGGUGGAAUUUGCAAUCUUCGCUUUUCAAGGAGAUGGGGUUCCGGCUCGUGGAGAACAUGGUCUUGAAAUUAAUGGCCUAUCAGAGAGCAACUACAUGGCGAAAUUUACUGUCAAUAUGUUCUGCCUCAGAUCAAGUUAGAUAGUUUUUCAACCACAGGUGGGACAUAUUCUGGAGUGAGGAGGUGGCUCGAUUCUACGAAUGUACACGAAAGGAGGGGUGUUUUGAAAUCAUAAAUUUGGAAACACAAAAUGAGUAAGAGUAAUUCAAAUACAUUGCUGAUGUAGCAACCGCUUGUGCAUUGAAAGAGAUGAUGAGGCUUACUUGAAUGUGUCCAGAAAAGCUGUGGUAAGUGACUUUUGUUGUUAUUGAUCCAUACGUCAUAGGCAAUGGCAUUGACAGAUACAUGUAUGUUUCUUAGACAUGUUUUCUUCAGCUAUGACAGUUGUUGCUCCUGAAAAGCUGUAUGUAUGAAACCUGGUUUUUGUGACUUGGGGGAAUGGCUUUCGUGACUGGUUUUUGUUGGUAUUUACAGGGGUUUCUUUUUUCCUGUGAUUACCGACGAAAAAGUGAGAUUCAGCACUCUAUUUGUCCCUGUCUGUUUGUUUAGGAAGUAAAGGUGAAAUACCAUAUCUGUAAUCUCAGCUGUUCCUCUGGAUAUAAUUGAAUUGAUCCUUUUAGUCCCGGAUCAGUGGUUUGAGAUUUUUUAUUUUUUAAAUUUUUUGCCUUAUUUAUAGAAUUUCCAGCCAAUUUUUAUCAGAACAUGAAAUUGGAUAUUUUCUUAACUUAGACAGUUCUAAUUCUUAAAUUCUGUUCUAGUCUCCCCAGAUUUUCUAUUGCUCUUCUUGAGAGAGAGAGAGAGAGAGAGAGAGAGAGAGAGAGACAGACAGACAGACAGCCAGUGAAAGUUUCUGAACAGAAGUAAGUAUAUAGAAAAACAGAGAGGCACAAAGAAAUUAUUUUUUACAAUAUGUGAAGUCUGCAAUCAUUCAGCAGACCUGUAUUCUUUUUUGGGUUAUUUUUAAGUCUCAAAAAAUCUAGUACUUAGAUAUCAUUCAGAAGACAUUGAUUAGGCCUGUAAAUAUUCUCUCUUUUUCUUGUAUUUUUUAAUUGGGUUGUUUUUGUUUACCUUUUUAUCAGACAGUUACAGGUUUUACAGGCCACAUGGUCAUAUUCUUUUACUGUACUACGUUACCGCCGAAAAAGCAUAAAAAUUCCAUGUAGGCUGCCUGGCUCUCUGCAAGACGGUACUUUUAGCUGCAGAAGAAAAAAAAUGAAAAAAAAAAUCUUUGUUGGAGGCAAUCCACCAGAAAAUAAAAGAUAAUAAAAGUACAAAAAAAUGUACCUUAAUGUGGAAACGGAUUCUGACUGAGCUGCUGGGUUUGUGCCAGGGACCCCACGAGGACCUCUGUUUUCAGUGCUCACGUGGACAGCGCGUUUGCCUCAUUAAACUCACUGCCUGCUCUGUUUUCCACCUAUCAAAAUGCAGAGGAAAAGAAGAAGAAGAUGAUGAUGAUGAAAGAAGACGACAGACUUCAAUUCAUUUUUGUACUUACUGGCAUCUGCUUUUACUGCUUUCUUUUUCUUUUUCCUUUUCUUUUUUCCUUGUGAGGCUGUGCAUGUGGAGUUUGGUAAAUUUACCAUCGGUAAUAAAAUGGCUGUUUCUUUCUUUCUUUC